CAUCAGGGGAUGUAUGUUAUAGCUUCCAGAAAGAGGAACAGCAGAGUCGGAUCAAUGUAAUGCUGUACCUCAUCUGACUGGGGGGAAUAAAUAGGAAGUAAGAAAAGAGGGGGGAGCUGAGGACUUACAAAGGUUUCAGUAUUACAGGGUCUCCUGACUUGGUACCUUGGUCUUGUACCUGGAAAUGAUCUCGGUGGAGCCAAAGAAUCCACCGGCACAAAGGAGGUUGUAGAACUGGAUUUCAGUGGGCACAGUUUGAGCCUCACUGUAACAAAAAUCCACAUGAAUGAUUUACACGUGCGAACUGCCCUCACAAGAGCAGUGGAAAUGCUCAGAGAGUUGGAUUGAACGGUGUCUCAAUGAAAGUGAAAACAAACGCUAUUCCAGUCACACCUCUCUGGGGAACGUUUCUAAUGAUGAAAAGAACUACUCUUUGAUGUCACUGUAGAAUUACAUGCCUUGCAGCACAAAGCUUCAGCUGAUUACAGAAUUUUCUAUGUUGGGAUCUCACAUUUAUUUGCCCAGGAGUCUCUUUUGAAGAGGUAUCUCUUCUGAGGAAGAAAGAAGGUGUUAGGAGCAUGACUCCCAUACUAAGAACAGCAGAACAGAAUCCUCAAAGAUAAUAACAUUUGACAGGUUUGGGUUUUGCAGGUGUUCUGUUUUUAUUUUAAAAAGUAAGAAAUUGGCGAAUUGUACUGAAGAAGUAAAACAUAUGCUUGUUAAUUUGCAUCUUAUGACAACCUUUGUGCACUUUAUUACAUUCAUUUUACCCUAUCUGAUGCUACUAAGAGUGUGACAGAAAUAAUCUGUAAUGACUGAGAUGUGACUUCUCAUUCUUAAUGGAGUCUGAAUGCAGGAUUUGAUUCUAUUGACUUUAGUGGGCUUUUCCUUAGACUCACAGCACCAGAAUAACAAAUUAAUACCACUAGCUAUAUAAUAAACAAAAAAACCCAAACCAACACAAUUCAUUUUAUGAGUUUCCUUCUAUAUUCUUUUUUAGAUUUGUUACUCUAUAUAGGUUCUAGUAAAACUAUUAGCAGUUUGUUAUAUGUGCUUAUAGCUUGAAUGUGUGCACAAGAAAGCUUUCACAUCCCCAGAGUCAGUAGGUGAACCUGUGUGGCUUAGCAGUCGUGAUUAACAGCAAGUAUUUCAGAAAGUAGCACUGAGGAGACAGGAUGGUUGUUCAUUCUGUCUUCUGGUGCUGGAAUUAAGGGGAAAGUAAUGAUAACAAAAGGCAGCAAAUGUAGAAUGUACAUAAAUACAUAACUGAAUUUAUCCCACAUUUUGUGUAGAAUGCUUUGUCGCAGUAUAUAAUGGAAACUCAAAUGAGAAAGAAAGUGUUGAUUUAAUCUAGCUUCCUUUUUAUAGCCAGUUCAUCCAACCGUUUCCAUUACACUAAUACCGGCAUUUUUGCAGUGCAGAUCAGAGAAUUAAUCCACCUGAAAAGCCAUCCUUGUUUUUGUGGGCAAGGAAGAGAGGAGAAAAGGAAGAGGAGGAAAGAAAAAUAAGCCAUUUGCCUAGCAGCAAGAAGACCAAUAAUCUGUGAAAUCUAGAAAAAUUAGAUGUUUCCCCUUAGGAAGCAUCAUAUAAUAUAAUGUGGUCCUUUCUAGUCUUUGGGUUUUCCUAAGAGUGCC
Molecule: long non-coding RNA, 1634 nt
Organism: Pavo cristatus (Indian peafowl)
Lineage: Eukaryota; Metazoa; Chordata; Aves; Galliformes; Phasianidae
Source: Ensembl